RNAcentral lists this ribosomal RNA (1110 nucleotides) under Triticum aestivum (bread wheat). Its description in RNAcentral is "partial small subunit ribosomal RNA". The record is from RNAcentral. Lineage: Eukaryota; Viridiplantae; Streptophyta; Magnoliopsida; Poales; Poaceae.
AUGAGCAACCUGGUAGUUUUUCGUCACGGUUCCGUGAAUUGUGGUAGUUUUUGGUUAAAUACUCUUCAGAUGGAGAUGACGACACCAUCAUAUUUAAGUAAUGACAUUGAAAUUGAGCAUGCAAAAGCAGGGCACCAUCAGACAAGACGGGAGGAGGUAGAAGAUGCAGCAGCAGGAGGAGGUCUACUGCUCCUGCCUCGGCAACUACAGGAGUUGGUCAUCUCUGGUUGCAGAGAGCUGCGGUUACUCUCCGAUUCACUUGUCAAGGACAGCACACACGGAGGAGGGCUCCAGAGUCUUUGCUCCCUCCAAUCGUUGCGCAUAUAUGAUUGCCCCAGGUUCCUCUCGUCCUAUUCAUCCUCCGCCGCAUCUUGUUUCCCCUUCCCGACCUCCCUGCAACAACUCAUGCUGGAGGGCGUGGAGAGCAUGGAGACGCUGGCUCCCCUCUCAAAUCUCAUCUCUCUCACCGCUUUAUUCGUGCGUAAUUGUGGGGAUCUAAGAGGCGAGGGCUUAUGGCCUCUCGUCGCCCAGGGCCGACUCACAGGAUUACUCGUCACUGAAACCCCCCAAUUCUUCACUGGUUCUGAGCCCUCACGGCCACAUGACCAAGAGAUUCCUUUCUCUUCAUCCAAACUCCAACAUCUCUGGACAGAUGACUUGGCAGGAGUCCUUACCGCGCCCAUAUGCACACUCCUCUCUUCCUCCCUCACCAAAUUAAUUUUGUAUGCCAACAAAGAGGUGGAGCGCUUCACAGAGAAGCAAGAGGAGGCCCUUCACCUCCUCAAUUCCCUCCAGGAACUCAACUUUUGGAAGUGUUGGAAGCUGCAGCGCCUCCCUGCAGGGCUAACCAAGCUUGCCAGCCUCAAGAUAUUACACAUUUGGGGGUGUCCAGCCAUCCAAUUGCUGUCCAAGGACGGACUACCAAGCUCUCUGCAAGAAUUAGAGAUCAGAGACUGUCCUGCCAUCAAAUCUCUGCCCAAGGACGGCCUGCCAAGUUCACUGCGGAAAUUACAAGUUUCUAAUGGCAUCAGCAAGGAGCUUAAAAAGCAGUGCCGCAAGUUAAAAGGAACCAUUCCAAUAAUCAUAGACUACAACAACGACGACUACUAA